This is a long non-coding RNA of Homo sapiens (human), 404 nucleotides long. Lineage: Eukaryota; Metazoa; Chordata; Mammalia; Primates; Hominidae. The record is from Ensembl.
AGGAAACACCAGCUACCUAUAAUAACGCGUGACACGCACCUUCUUCAACACUCAGCACAGCUCUGCAAUAAUGGCCCAGCCUGAUCUUCACGUUGGAGGUGAGGACACAGGCCCUGGAGGAUUCAAGUGGCAAGGUCACAGAAGUGGUCACAGGGGACCACAGCCCCCCCUGCCUGGACUGCCCUAGGCUCUGGAUCUGUAACCCCUGGCUUGCUCCCCAUUCGCCUGCCUGACCACAGCUCCGAGGCCUCUGAAAAGCCUGGCAAGCCCGGUCACCUGGUCACCCUAUGACCCCACACCCUGCAGCUGCACUGAGCUUCACUGACCUUGGGUGGGGAUGCCUCCUGAGGGCUCUUUCUGUUGUUCUCGCAUCUCUCCAGCCACAUAUUAAAGUGACUCAGACC